Long non-coding RNA from Equus caballus (horse), 595 nucleotides. RefSeq lists it as uncharacterized. NCBI's taxonomy places the organism in Eukaryota, Metazoa, Chordata, Mammalia, Perissodactyla, Equidae. The record is from RefSeq and is a predicted model, not a curated record.
AUACCACUACACACUCCUCCACCCCCUGGCGUUUCUCCUGAAAGCAAAACACCUUCGCGGUUCAGGCCACCACGUAAGAAAGCAUACUAAGUAGAAGACCUCAACUGGGGCCUGGGAAACUGGAGGAACUCUGCCCAGUUUGGUGGAACAAGGCAUGUCCCUGCGAUGCCUGGAUAAAUGAUAUAAAAGGAGGAAGAAACAGAAGGAAGAAUAAAUGCACAGAACAUCUUGACAGUGUGACCUGCAUAUAUGCCUUCCUUUCAAUAGACAGAGAGACACACAGAUCCAGACACAGAAAAGCCAGAUGCCAGUGAGCCAGUUCCCAGAUGGAGGGUAGAAAGUCCUACAACUAUUUCCACUCCGGAUGUGACCCCAGAUGGCCCCUCUGUGAACAGAAAGGACCCAAGAUGGCCCUUUCAUGAAUGGAAGGGACCUCAGAGGAGGAGAAGGAACUUCAUGGGCGUCCCCAAGGCAAUGCUGCAGUGAAUCUCCUCUUACCAGCCUACUUUUAUACAUGUGAUAUAGUUUCCCUACAUUACAGGAUGCCAAGUUCCCUGGGACUUGAUUUCAGUAAUUAAAACUUUCUCAAAAAGUG